This 96-nucleotide microRNA precursor is filed under the name Manihot esculenta (cassava). Its description in RNAcentral is "miR396c stem-loop (mes-MIR396c)". Its record names the gene mes-MIR396c. It matches the Rfam family "MIR396 microRNA precursor family". Lineage: Eukaryota; Viridiplantae; Streptophyta; Magnoliopsida; Malpighiales; Euphorbiaceae. The record is from miRBase by way of RNAcentral.
UGUCAUGCUUUUCCACAGCUUUCUUGAACUUCUUCUUCUUCAUCUUCUGCUUGAUUUUGGCUUAGAAGUUCAAGAAAGCUGUGGGAGAACAUGGCA